UUUUAGGUUUAACAAAAAAUUUCGUUCAAUAUUUAUUUGAUUGCAAACUGAUAAAAAAAAUCAAAAUGUGCAACUUUUUUUCUGGAAAACUUACCAGUCGAUUAGAAUUAGGUCUUUGGGCCAUCGCCACAUUAGCACUAAGCGUCGGUCUUAUUAUAUAUGUGUCUACCCGUGAAAACCUUGACGUAUACCACAAAAUCGCAAUUGGCGGAUGCAGCUUUACAAUUCUUGCUGCACUAUUACUUUUGCUUGGUGCAAUCUGGAAAAACGGCUGUCUUGUGUGGACUUGGGUGGUUAUAAUAAUUUUGGUAGUUAUUAUAAUUUCUACCUCAUAUAUUAUCAAGUUGUGCACAGAAUAUGAGGUUUCCACCACACGGGCUAAAGUAUACACCAUAAAGUACACUGUCUUCGAGUGAAAUAUUCCAAUGUAUAUUAAUUUAAUUUGUAAACUUG
This 453-nucleotide small RNA is filed under the name Drosophila yakuba. Its description in RNAcentral is "GE29148". The record is from RNAcentral. Lineage: Eukaryota; Metazoa; Arthropoda; Insecta; Diptera; Drosophilidae.